UCUCAUAAAUUCAUUCCGGGAAAAACUAAAUGAUGAACACAAAAUGCUAUCAAGGCAACAGAAGAGGCACUCAACAGAAGGCACACACACUGCAACAUGUGAAUGAAUGAUACAAAGUGUGUGCAGUUUUCGUGGACUACCAUCAGCUGUUUUUCUUGUUCCUUUGUCUUCGUUUCCCACAAAAAAAAUCCUGCAGAAGUGUUUGUGAAAAUUCCAAAUGUCCAGAGUAUUUUCUUUAUUGUGUAUUCUUUAUUAUUUACACUUUUCUGUUUUCUUUCUUAUCUUACUCUU
Sinocyclocheilus rhinocerous is the source of this 291-nucleotide long non-coding RNA. RefSeq lists it as uncharacterized. NCBI's taxonomy places the organism in Eukaryota, Metazoa, Chordata, Actinopteri, Cypriniformes, Cyprinidae. The transcript is spliced from 3 exons. The record is from RefSeq and is a predicted model, not a curated record.